RNAcentral lists this ribosomal RNA (277 nucleotides) under uncultured Thauera sp. RNAcentral describes it as "partial 16S ribosomal RNA". It matches the Rfam family "Bacterial small subunit ribosomal RNA", at positions 1105 to 1382 of the family's 1533-position model. Lineage: Bacteria; Pseudomonadati; Pseudomonadota; Betaproteobacteria; Rhodocyclales; Zoogloeaceae. The record is from RNAcentral.
UUGUCAUUAGUUGCCAUCAUUUAGUUGGGCACUCUAAUGAGACUGCCGGUGACAAACCGGAGGAAGGUGGGGAUGACGUCAAGUCCUCAUGGCCCUUAUGGGUAGGGCUUCACACGUCAUACAAUGGUCGGUACAGAGGGUUGCCAAGCCGCGAGGUGGAGCCAAUCCCUUAAAGCCGAUCGUAGUCCGGAUCGUAGUCUGCAACUCGACUACGUGAAGUCGGAAUCGCUAGUAAUCGCAGAUCAGCAUGCUGCGGUGAAUACGUUCCCGGGUCCUU